This is a long non-coding RNA of Panicum virgatum (switchgrass), 855 nucleotides long. RefSeq lists it as uncharacterized. Lineage: Eukaryota; Viridiplantae; Streptophyta; Magnoliopsida; Poales; Poaceae. The transcript has 4 exons. The record is from RefSeq and is a predicted model, not a curated record.
UGAUCUAAAAAAAGCUUGAUUUAAGUUAGGUUUGGAUUAACUAUUUGCAGGGCUUAACUUCAUCAGUUUGAAGUGCAGAACUUUUAGACGCUUCUAACAUGUAACUGUACCUAAGUGGAUGUUUAAUUCUCAACCUCAUGCAGCAAUUACAUCUGGUUUUCAUUCCUAAAACUAGUCAGAUUACUGUGAUUCUAACUAUGCCUUUAAAGGUCAUUGCUGAAAGGGAAAAUAGCCGUUUAAUUAACUUCUGGUGUUGCUCUUGCAGGUAGGAGGCCUGAGGAUUCUGAUUAUACAGUUGAUGUACUUAGCAGAUGUUCUGGAAGUAAGGAUAGCAGCGGAAAGAAAACAAUGAAGUUUAUUCCUCUGAAAGAAAAUGGAGAACCAGUUGUUAUUUCACCGCCACUUCCAUAGAACAGAUUGAGGAACUAAGCAGCAUCUGGAUGUACAUACCUGAGGAUCUUCUGCUUGUAGAAGCUCUAGAAAACACCUUGAGAAAAGUUGAAGAAGUGUUAUCAAGGUUUGCUAAAGAUGGGAUAUCUCUAUUGGAUCAAGAAGAGGAUAUCAAGGUACAAUACAAUCAAAAUCUUUUCGAAAAGCUACCAGAAGAAUAGAAGCUCUGGAGGGCUUAUUUUAGAAGCAUGAUAACCAUAGUUCUGCCCAUAUCCAGGAAAAACUUAGUCUUUCAUGCUAAGCAAGAAUUAUCAGCUAAUAUAAAGUCCAUCAAGAAGCUCCAGGAUGGCCCUGAAGCCAAGGGAGCAGAUUGAUUUGCUCUUCUACCAAUUGCAGGAAACAGCGAGAAGGGUUGCUAACCUUCAGCUGGAGUGCAAGAUCCAAAUUGACGUGGAAAGCUUUGCG